UGCCGCCCUGAAGGGCGUAUGGUGGAUGCCUUGGCAGACAGUACCGAUGAAGGACGUUUGAGGAUGCGAUAAGCCUCGGGGAGCCUCCAACAUGGCUUCGAUCCGAGGAUUUCCGAAUGGGGCAACCCGCCGGCCGUCAUGGGCCGGCACGGAACCUUGUUGUUCCGGGGGUACGCAGGGAAGUGAAACAUCUCAGUACCUGCAGGAAGGGAUACUCCGUGAGUAGUGGCGAGCGAAAGCGGAUCAGACCAAACCAUGGGCGCGUGAUACCCGUCGGGGGUUGCGUUCGUGGUGUUGCGGGAGCGUGUGUCCCGGUUCCGACGGACCGGGCGGGAGUCAUAAAACGGCUUGCCAGGGGAACAGGCUUGAAGGCCUGGCCGCAGAGGGUGCCAGCCCCGUACCUGGAAGCUUGCCGUCUUCCGAUCAUGUGUCCCAAGUAGCGCGGGCCUCGUGGAAUCCCGUGUGAAUCGGCCCCGACCGUGGGGUAAGUCUAAGCAUACCUGUCUGACCGAUAGCGUACCAGUACCGUGAGGGAAAGGUGAAAAGCACCCCGGGAGGGGAGUGAAAGAGUUCCUGAAACCGUGCGCCUACAAUCCGUCGGAGCCUCCUUGUGGGGUGACGGCGUGCCUAUCGAAAAAUGAGUCUGCGAGUCAGUGGUGCGUGGCGAGGCUAACCCGUGGUGGGGGAGCCGUAGCGAAGGCGAGUCUCAAAAGGCGUUUUGAGUCGCGCGCCCUGGACCCGAAGCGGGAUGAUCUAGCCCUGGGCAGGUUGAAGCGCGGGUAAGACCGCGUGGAGGACCGAACCCACCUGGGUUGAAAACCGGGGGGAUGACCUGGGGCUAGGGGUGAAAGGCCAAUCAAAUUCCGUGAUAGCUGGUUCUCUCCGAAAUGCAUUUAGGUGCAGCGUCGGUUGAUUGCAUCGCGGGGGUAGAGCUACUGGAUGCUUGCGGGCCCGUGUGGGGUACCAAUAGCAGCCAAACUCCGAAUACCGUGGAUGUGUAUUCCGGCAGUGAGUCGGCGGGGGAUAAGCUCCGUCGUCGAGAGGGAGACAGCCCAGAUCGUCGUCUAAGGUCCCGAAGCGUGUGCUAAGUGGGAAAGGAUGUGGAGUCGCAUAGACAGCCAGGAGGUUGGCUCAGAAGCAGCCAUCCUUGAAAGAGUGCGUAACAGCUCACUGGUCUAGUGGUUCCGCGCCGACAAUGUAGCGGGGCUCAAGCACACCACCGAAGACGCGGCAGCGGCCUUUGCGGCCGUUGGGUAGGAGAGCGUCCCGCGUGGGGCGAAGCGGCCGGGGAACCGUGCCGUGGACCGCGCGGGAGUGAGAAUGCAGACAUGAGUAGCGAGAGACGGGUGAGGAUCCCGUCCGCUGGAUGACCAAGGGUUCCGGGGCCACGUUCGUCGUCCCCGGGUGAGUCGGGUCCUAAGGCGAGGCCGACAGGCGUAGUCGAAUGGAUGAACGGGUGGAUAUUCCCGUACCGGCGGCGUACCGUAAGAGCCGAACGGAUGAGUACUAACCUCCGGUCGCGUGGCGUCGUUCCCUUCGGGGUUCGGGGCGCGUGGCUGUUGGGAGCGUAGUCCCGGUAGGCUAGCGCACAGGGGUGACACGGAAUGGGAGCCGGCCGCGGAGGUGGUUUUCCGUGGUCAAGCACGCAGCCCGUCCCAUAGGCAAAUCCGUGGGGCACAUAGGGUGAGGUGUGAUGAUGGGCGUCCUUUGGACGCGAUAUCCGGUGGUCCAGGCCGUCGAGAAAAGCCUCGGCGCGAGGGGCGUCGCCGCCCGUACCCCAAACCGACACUGGUGGUCAGGUAGAGAAUACCAAGGCGAUCGAGCGAAUCCUGGUCAAGGAACUCGGCAAAUCACUCCCGUGCCUUCGGUAUAAGGGAGACCCCCGGGCGUGAAGAGGCUUGCCCUCGGAGCGUUGGGGGGUGGCACAGACCAGGGGGUAGCGACUGUUUACCAAAAACACAGGUGCAUGCGAAGGCGCAAGCCGCUGUAUAUGCACUGACGCCUGCCCGGUGCCGGAAGGUUAAGAGGAUCCGUCAGCCCUUUUUGGGGUGAAGCGGUGAAUUCAAGCCCCGGUAAACGGCGGUGGUAACUAUAACCAUCCUAAGGUAGCGAAAUUCCUUGUCGGGUAAGUUCCGACCUGCACGAAUGGCGUAA
This 2154-nucleotide ribosomal RNA is filed under the name human gut metagenome. RNAcentral's name for it is "bacterial LSU rRNA". It matches the Rfam family "Bacterial large subunit ribosomal RNA", at positions 1 to 2004 of the family's 2925-position model. The record is from RNAcentral.